RNAcentral lists this transfer RNA (73 nucleotides) under Canis lupus familiaris (dog). It matches the Rfam family "tRNA". Rfam says of the family: Transfer RNA (tRNA) molecules are approximately 80 nucleotides in length. Their secondary structure includes four short double-helical elements and three loops (D, anti-codon, and T loops). Lineage: Eukaryota; Metazoa; Chordata; Mammalia; Carnivora; Canidae. RNAcentral also lists the same sequence under 3 other names. The record is from Rfam by way of RNAcentral.
GUGUGGCUAGCUUAGUCGGUAGAGCAAGUGACUCUUGAUCUUGGGGUCAUGAGUUCAAGCCCCAUGUUGCAUG